GGACGAACGCUGGCGGCGCGUUUUAAGCAUGCAAGUCGAGCGGUAAGCUAACUUCGGUUAGCCUAGUAGCGGCGGACGGGUGAGUAACACGUGGAUAAUCUACCCUCUUGUUUGGGAUAGCCUGUGGAAACAUGGGGUAAUACCAAAUAAUACUCUUUUAUCACAAGAUAGAAGAAGGAAAGGCGCCUCAAAGCGUCGCAAGAGGAUGAGUCUGCGUCCCAUUAGCUAGACGGUAGGGUAAAGGCCUACCGUGGCAAUGAUGGGUAGCCGGCCUGAGAGGGUGAUCGGCCACAUUGGAACUGAGAUACGGUCCAGACUCCUACGGGGGGCAGCAGCUAAGAAUCUUCCGCAAUGGACGAAAGUCUGACGGAGCGACGCCGCGUGAACGAUGAAGGCCGUGAGGUUGUAAAGUUCUUUUCGGGAGGAGGAAUAAGGUUUGCAGGGAAUGGCAGACUGAUGACGUUAAUCCCGGAAUAAGCCCCGGCUAACUACGUGCCAGCAGCCGCGGUAACACGUAGGGGGCAAGCGUUGUUCGGAAUCAUUGGGCGUAAAGGGCGUGCAGGCGGUAUUGCAAGUCUGGCGUGAAAGAUCUCGGCUUAACCGAGGGAACGCGCUGGAAACUGUAAUSCUAGAGUACAGGAGGGGACAUUUGGAAUUCCAGGUGUCGGGGUGAAAAUCCUGUAGAUAUCUGGAAGACACC
This 700-nucleotide ribosomal RNA is filed under the name uncultured bacterium. RNAcentral's name for it is "bacterial SSU rRNA". It matches the Rfam family "Bacterial small subunit ribosomal RNA", at positions 27 to 709 of the family's 1533-position model. The record is from RNAcentral.